AGAUAAAGUAUAUGUAUGAGUUUUAGAUUUUACUUAAUGCAUUUGUUUUAAACCUAAUAUCUGCAUUGAAAAAAUCUCCAAUUUUAAUAGUCUAUGUACAUGGCGCUAAGGGGGAAACGAACCCCAUGAACUAUUGGAGGUUGGGUAAGCAAAUGCAUCUAUACAAUAUUCUCACUCUCAGUUGAUGUCUACUCUGUCUUUCCAGUUCCCCAGGCCAAUCAAAGUCAUGCUUAACUCUAUCUUAAGAUCCAUAUCCAAUUUAUCAGGAAAUUGUGCUGGCCUCACCUUCAAAUGCAUCCAUUAUAUAACUAUAUAACUAUUACAUAUUAUAUAACUAUAUAAGUCACUGAAACUACUGCCAGCUCCUAACCUUGCCUCCUUCCCAUCCCCCCAUUCUAUUCUACAUAGAGUAGUAGAACUUAUUAACAUGAAAGUCAUGUAAUGAAGUUUAUCUACACAAAAUCUAAUGAUAUCUUCUCAUUUAUUUCAAAAUAAAUGCUAAUUACAACAGUAUAAAAGGUUCUCCUUGAUCUGGUCCCUGCCUAGAUCUCAUCUCCUUCAGUAGUAGCCACACUGCUUUUGUUGGUGUUCUGUGAACAGGCUCGUGAGGUUCCUAAUGUAGGAAACCUAUACUUGAUGCUUUUAAAAAAAAUAUAUAUAUAUAUCUUCUAAAUAUUCCCAAGGUUCUAACACUUAUUUUGUUUCAAGUUACUGUUUAAAUAUAAUCUUCUCAACAAAGUCUAUUCUAACUAUUAAACUGCAAGUUCUUCCUUACAAAGAGACAUUCAAAAAUCCCUAAACUUGACCGAUCUAUAUUUUUCUUCUCUAUAGCAUGUAUCAUCUUCUAAUAUACUGUGUAAUUACUUAUUUAUUUACUAUUUAUUUUUUGUCCUAUCAUAAUAGAUUGCAAACUUUAUAAGAACAGGAAUUUUUCUUUCUUUAUUCAUUUACAAGUACUUGGUAAACAAUAGCAAAAGUAUUUGUUGAAGGAAUGAAUCAACAGGGAGAAAAAAGAUAGUCCACUAUUCUAACUUUUGGUAUAUUGAUUCAACCAAGAUAUUCAUCAACAAAUAUUUGUUCUUAUUAAAGACCUUAAAGUACUCAGAAAAAAAUUAUUCUCAAAUUUCAACGUUAGUAUAAUUUUAUGGCCUAUAGUGAAAAUUUUCCUUGGUAAUAUUUAUUUUUAUAGAUAGUAAUAGUUUUUAUGAGUUAUGGCUCUCUCUCUCAAUAAUUUUUAAUGAACUGGGAUUUCAAAGCUCUAUUUCUAAAGAGAGUUCUAGAAAAAUAAUCAAAUUUUAUUAGAAUAUACAGGGAUGUACUAAUUGGGACACACAUAGAUCAGUUAGUUACCCUUCUGCCAUUUCCAUAAGCAAUAAAAAUCAGAAUCCUAAUUUUGAACUGAGUUGUAAUAAUGCGGUUAAUUAUCAAUUUAAAAAAAAAGUUGACCAAUAAAGAAGCAAAUUCAUUAUCUUGCUUAAGAAAAAAAGUUACUCAUUUGCCUAUUCAAGAGUUUGUGGUGUUUCUAAACUAGGAUGAGACCAAGAUUAUCAUGUAGAAGAUUUCUUUUACUCUGAAUUGAAACUAAAGAAGAAAUUCAAAGCUUAUGAGAUAAUAUAGAUAGUUCCAAGGUAAAAUUCCAAAUUAAUAUUAUUUUUAAAUGUAUAGGCAGGCACUGGAGAAUAUGACAUGACAAAGCACAAAGAGAUUAAGGAAGUUCUCUCAGUCUUGUUAAAUUAAUUGUGAAAAUACUACAGCCAGAAGCUAUUCGAUUUUUGGAGAAGACUGAAGAGCACCCAAAGGAAGUUGCACAGGGUAUUAUCAAACCACCAGGCCUUAGCCUGAUCAUCUUGUUAUCCUUAUUUUUCAACCCUGUUUCUACCAACUUUGCCCGUAGCAAAAUAGCAAGAUACAGCCAACAUCAAGGCACAGUGAGAAAAUCCUACUUGACUUGCUGAAAGUUCAUGCAACAACCUUGAAUGCUGGACUAUGAGAGCAAAAGAACAAGAUCAAACUAUGACUCAAGGACAUUCAGAAAUCUCCUCAAAAUAUCUAAGGGCACCUAAAGGUCAUUAAAUAUCACUAUGUAGUAUGCUCUUGUCUGAUAGGAGGAUAGGGGCUGGAACAAGAGUUAGUUCUAUAAGUAAGAAAAUGGGAAUUUCCUUGAAAAAGCAUCCUGAAAACAUUCCUAUUUACUUAAAAACUAUAGAAUAAGUGAUUAUGCAUAUAUGUUUAAACAAUGAAUUGAGUAGCUAAAUGGAUUUGUGUGAUGUGUAUAAACAUAGAAUAUAUAAAAUGUGCACUGUAAUUACAAUUAAUAUUUCUGUAUCUUUAAACACUAGAAAUGUUUAAACAUUAAGAAUAAAGUGAAAUGGACAAUGAGAGCAGAUUUACAGUUCUCAACUCACUCUCACUCAGGGUGUGCUCAUUGAAAGGAAUGGCUAGCCCAUCCGUUCUCUCUCUCUCUCUCUCUCUCUCUCUCUCUCUCUCUCUCUCUCCUUCUUCCCAUUUUUCUGUUUUU
Molecule: non-coding RNA, 2518 nt
Organism: Microcebus murinus (gray mouse lemur)
Lineage: Eukaryota; Metazoa; Chordata; Mammalia; Primates; Cheirogaleidae
Source: RefSeq, a predicted model, not a curated record